GUGGGGAAUCUUCCGCAAUGGACGAAAGUCUGACGGAGCAACGCCGCGUGAGUGAAGAAGGUUUUCGGAUCGUAAAGCUCUUUCGUUAGGGACGAACGUGCUCUUUGUGAAUAAUGAGGAGUAAUGGCGGUACCUAAAUAAGAAGCCACGGCUAACUACGUGCCAGCAGCCGCGGUAAUACGUAGGUGGCAAGCGUUGUCCGGAAUUAUUGGGCGUAAAGCGCGCGCAGGCGGGAUAUCAAGUCUGUCUUAAAAGUGCGAGGCUCAACCUCGUGAGGGGACAGAAACUGGUAUUCUUGAGUGUCGGAGAGGAAAGUGGAAUUCCAAGUGUAGCGGUGAAAUGCGUAGAGAUUUGGAAGAACACCAGUGGCGAAGGCGACUUUCUGGACGAUGUCUGACGCUGAGGCGCGAAAGCUAGGGGAGCGAACGGGAUUAGAAACCCCAGUAGUCC
RNAcentral lists this ribosomal RNA (450 nucleotides) under uncultured bacterium. Its description in RNAcentral is "partial 16S ribosomal RNA". It matches the Rfam family "Bacterial small subunit ribosomal RNA", at positions 354 to 796 of the family's 1533-position model. The record is from RNAcentral.